GUGCCCUUGGUGUAUGGCAACACACGUCUUAUGUCUCCUGGGUCGGCACAGCAGAAUUCAAGACGAACCCGGGGUUCGAGUCCCCGAGGGUGCA
Mycena olivaceomarginata is the source of this 94-nucleotide non-coding RNA. The record is from the annotation of a GenBank genome assembly. NCBI's taxonomy places the organism in Eukaryota, Fungi, Basidiomycota, Agaricomycetes, Agaricales, Mycenaceae.